RNAcentral lists this ribosomal RNA (345 nucleotides) under uncultured bacterium. Its description in RNAcentral is "partial 16S ribosomal RNA". It matches the Rfam family "Bacterial small subunit ribosomal RNA", at positions 338 to 697 of the family's 1533-position model. The record is from RNAcentral.
CCUACGGGUGGCAGCAGUGGGGAAUAUUGGGCAAUGGGCGCAAGCCUGACCCAGCAACGCCGCGUGAAGGAAGAAGGCUUUCGGGUUGUAAACUUCUUUUCUCAGGGACGAAGAAAGUGACGGUACCUGUGGAAUAAGCCACGGCUAACUACGUGCCAGCAGCCGCGGUAAUACGUAGGUGGCAAGCGUUAUCCGGAUUUAUUGGGUGUAAAGGGUGCGUAGGCGGGAGCGCAAGUCAGAUGUGAAAACUCAGGGCUCAACCCUGAGCCUGCCUUUGAAACUGUGUGUCUUGAGUGUUGUUGAGGCAGUCGGAAUGCAGGGUGUAGCGGUGAAAUGCAUAGAGAU